AAAGAGGAACGCAGUCUAAAGACGCCACGUCCGAUGGCAACGACUGCGUGACCAACAUCGUGUU
This 64-nucleotide small RNA is filed under the name uncultured Metasolibacillus sp. Its description in RNAcentral is "Bacillaceae-1 RNA". It matches the Rfam family "Bacillaceae-1 RNA". Lineage: Bacteria; Bacillati; Bacillota; Bacilli; Caryophanales; Caryophanaceae. The record is from RNAcentral.